GAUGAACGCUGGCGGCGUGCCUAAUACAUGCAAGUCGAGCGAACAGACGAGGAGCUUGCUCCUCUGACGUUAGCGGCGGACGGGUGAGUAACACGUGGAUAACCUACCUAUAAGACUGGGAUAACUUCGGGAAACCGGAGCUAAUACCGGAUAACAUGUUGAACCGCAUGGUUCAACAGUGAAAGACGGUCUUGCUGUCACUUAUAGAUGGAUCCGCGCCGCAUUAGCUAGUUGGUAAGGUAACGGCUUACCAAGGCAACGAUGCGUAGCCGACCUGAGAGGGUGAUCGGCCACACUGGAACUGAGACACGGUCCAGACUCCUACGGGAGGCAGCAGUAGGGAAUCUUCCGCAAUGGGCGAAAGCCUGACGGAGCAACGCCGCGUGAGUGAAGAAGGUCUUCGGAUCGUAAAACUCUGUUAUUAGGGAAGAACAAAUGUGUAAGUAACUAUGCACGUAUUGACGGUACCUAAUCAGAAAGCCACGGCUAACUACGUG
RNAcentral lists this ribosomal RNA (497 nucleotides) under uncultured bacterium. RNAcentral describes it as "partial 16S ribosomal RNA". It matches the Rfam family "Bacterial small subunit ribosomal RNA", at positions 28 to 507 of the family's 1533-position model. The record is from RNAcentral.